Molecule: long non-coding RNA, 1708 nt
Organism: Leucoraja erinaceus (little skate)
Lineage: Eukaryota; Metazoa; Chordata; Chondrichthyes; Rajiformes; Rajidae
Exons: 7
Source: RefSeq, a predicted model, not a curated record
CGUUGGCAGCAGGGGGAGCGGAGCGGAGCCCGGAGAUGGAAGCGGAGCCCGGGGCCUCGCCGGCAGGAGGUGGGAGCGGAGCGGAGCCUGGGGCCUCGCCGGCCGGAGAUGGAAGCGGAGCCCGGGCCUCGCCGGCAGGAGAUGGAAGCGGAGCCUGGGGCCUCACCGGCAGGAGGUGGGAGCGAAGCCUGGGGCCUCGCCGGCCGGAGAUGGAAGCGGAGCCUGGGGGCUCGACCUGUUGCACUCGCCCAGCUCCGGCACCGGUGAACCUGAUUCCAAACGUAGAUGACUUGGAUGUCUGUUUUUUUUUAUAAUGGGUGCAGGUGUCGGUGAACCUGAUUUCCCCGUCCUCUGCGAUGGAUAGCUGUGAAAUUUGGUGAUUUUUAAUGUGUGCAGGUGUCGGUGAACCUGAUUUCCCCGUCCUCUGCGAUGGAUAGCUGUGAAAUUUGGUGAUUUUUAAUGUGUGCAGGUGUCGGUGAACCUGAUUUCCCCGUCCUCUGCGAUGGAUAGCUGUGAAAUUUGGUGAUUUUUAAUGUGUGCAGGCCAUUGCAAGAUCCAAGCUCUUGCCAGAAGCUAGAAUGUUGGUGUCCCUACUGGGGUGAGAUAGCUGAGAGGUCGUCAGCGAGAUGCCCGUCCUCCAGAAGUGAUUACUUCCCCACCAUGACGCACUGUCAGCCGCACCUGAAGCACUGUAGCUGGAUUGAAUGGACGACUUCUGCUACAGCCACGAGUAAGUCCGAAGAAGGGUGCCGACAUCAUCUAUCCACGUUCUCCAGAGCUACUGCCUGACCCGCUGAGUUACUCCAGCACUUUGUGUCUUUUGAUACUGUUUUACUAGACAGGUGGAAGAAAUAAUAUCCCGUUGUGGCCACUGCAUCAGUGACAUUACCUCAAAUCUUGUGAAGAUUGCAGAUCUAAAUUGAUCUUUGUCUUGCUGGUUAGGCUUAUUUUCACUCUAGGCCCCUGUCCAUUGGGGUGGAUUAAAGCUGCACUGUAUUGGAGAGGGUGCUGAUUCCCACCCUAGAUGGCUUUUACCUGAUCCAGUUACCUGUAAUCCAAAGCGCAUUCAUGCUACCAUGGUAGAAGCCAGCCUUGCAGUGUCAAGAGCCAUGGAAAUGGGUCCUUAGACCCAAUCUGCCCAUACCGAUCAAGAUGUCCCAUCUAAGCUACUCAUAAAUGUAUUUUUAAAUGUUAUAGUACUUUCCUCAACUACCUCCCCUGAGAGCUUGUUCCAUAUACCCGCCAUCCGCUGUGGAAAAGUUACCCCUUGGAUUCCUAUUAAAUCUUUCCCCACUCAACUUAAACUUAUGCCCUAUAGUUCUUGACUCUGGGUAAAAGACUCUGCGCAUCUACUCUGUCCUGUCUUAACAGCGGGUGCUGAUACAAAUUCCAGUGGCUUGGUGCAAAUUAUGUGUAAUAGCAAAGGCAGGUUGGCAACUGGGCUGUGGGAGCACUGGGUAUGUGCAUUGCAGCUGACAUUACCAAGUGGUAGGCUAAAUUGAUGCUACUUUAAACUGAUGCAAGUUGGCAUACGCCAGCUAUUCAAGGCUGUGCAACUUGAAUUGUACUAAAGCUGUGCCUUUGUGCUUUCUUUUUCAGAUGUGACAAUAAAAUAUGAAAUUAGACAUGUUCCUUUCUAUGAUCUGAAGAGGUUUAAAUAAGCUAAUGAUGAUAAAUAUUAAAUUGCAAUUAAAAUAUCUGAAAUAAA